This 217-nucleotide long non-coding RNA is filed under the name Oncorhynchus kisutch (coho salmon). RNAcentral describes it as "lncRNA (ENSOKIG00005023293.1)". Lineage: Eukaryota; Metazoa; Chordata; Actinopteri; Salmoniformes; Salmonidae. The record is from RNAcentral.
CAGACUACACAUCCCAGACUACACACCCCAGACUACACAUCCCAGCUCACAUCCCAGACUACACAUCCCAGACUACACAUCCCAGACUACACAUCCCAGCUCACAUCUCACACUACACAUCCCAGACUACACAUCCCAGACUACACAUCCCAGCUCACAUCCCAGACUACACAUCCCAGCUCACAUCCCAGACUACACAUCCCAGACUACACAUCCC